GCCAAAUUGAAACAAAUUGUUAAAUGCUUGAAAUAAAAUUUUUAAUUGGCCUAUAAAAUAGUUCUCUACAAUUUGUUGUGCCCUGUUUAUCGUUAAUUACUUAAAAUUGUCGUGCAGAAUAUAGUUAAAAUUGUUGCCACAAGUAUUAUUUUUCGACAACAAUAUUUUUGCUAUAAAAGCCAUUCGAAGCACCUUGAAAAUCAUUCAGUUUUCUUAGGAUAUCCAAGCAAAAAACUAACACUUUAUAAAAGUCCAAAAUGAAAUUCUACGCCACCAUUGCUGUAGCUAUCAUGAGUGUCUUGGCAUUUGCUUCUGCCAAUCCUGAACCGAUUUUGCAGACAAUAAGUGGUUUAACUGAUAACCUUGGCAAGUAAAAGUUUGCCAACAUUUUAGUCUCCAAUUUGAUACUGAUGAACGAGGAAGUGGAAAAUGGCAAAGGAAUAAGCAAAA
Molecule: long non-coding RNA, 450 nt
Organism: Stomoxys calcitrans (stable fly)
Lineage: Eukaryota; Metazoa; Arthropoda; Insecta; Diptera; Muscidae
Exons: 3
Source: RefSeq, a predicted model, not a curated record